This 253-nucleotide ribosomal RNA is filed under the name uncultured bacterium. RNAcentral's name for it is "partial 16S ribosomal RNA". It matches the Rfam family "Bacterial small subunit ribosomal RNA", at positions 524 to 776 of the family's 1533-position model. The record is from RNAcentral.
GACGAAGGUGGCGAGCGUUGUUCGGAAUCACUGGGCCUAAAGCGCACGUAGGCGGUGUCGUAAGUCGGAUGUGAAAUCCCUCGGCCUAACCGAGGAACUGCGUCCGAUACUGCGAUGCUUGAGGACCAGAGGGGUGCAUGGAAUUUCCGGUGGAGCGGUGAAAUGCGUUGAUAUCGGAAGGAACUCCGGCGGCGAAAGCGAUGCACUGGCUGGUUUCUGACGCUGAGGUGCGAAAGCCAGGGGAGCAAACGGG